GCAGCUCUCCCCCGGGGCUGAGUGGAUGCCAGGGAAGCCUAGAUCACAAUGUUGAAUGAUGAGCAAAGGAUCCAGAACAUGAGGAAUGACCUUCACACCCCAGCUCUGGCCAUUACCCUCUCGGAGCCUUGGGCUCACCGCCUGGAACGUGUGUGUUUGUGUGGAGGAAGGACAAGGGGAGUAGGGGACGGGAGGAUCGAGGUGACCUCCAAGAGCCUUCCUGGCUCUUGGGCAAAGACACCUGGGAGUUAAGGGCUGGAAGGGCCUUUGCAGACACCAGUCAGCAAUGGGAGACGGUUGGGGCAGGCGGUGAAGGAGGUCACAGUCAGUUCUCCAAUUCUGUGACUCGUUUCACAGAAGAGAAAAUCGAAGUGGAGAAAAGGGAAAGGACUUGCUCAGGGCCACAAGACAAGGCACUGGCUGAGCCAGGACAAGUCAGUCUCUAACUGAACGUUUAUUAAAUGCCUAUGAUGGCCAAGCUCCUGUACGGCGCCUAGGAUACAAAUACAAAAUAAACGAUAGUGCCCACGCUCAAGGGGUUAAUAUGUUACUCCAGACAAUGUAAAUAGAACAAUCAUGUAAACACACUUUCCUAAGGCCGUUCUCAUGAGAACAGUGCUCAGCACACAGCAGGUGCCUAAUAAGUGUUUGCUUGUACUACAUCAGGUAGUACAAGCAGUACUAUCUUCAUUUUACAAAUGGGGAAACUGAGGCUUAGGAAGAUGGGCUGAUUUCCCUCAGAGACUCAGAGAUUAUAAACUAGGUCCUCUCAAUGCAGCGGCAAAUGUCUUAGUGACUUUUGUUUUUCUACUACUACUAUUUUCAGGUAGAUCAAGUCCCAAACACAGAACCUGACCUUACAAGAGUUAAACCAGCGGUCUGCAUGGUGAGCCUGUCUGCUGGCGUAUGCGGCGCUCCAUCCCUGUCACCCCCCACUCUCUAGAGGGAAGACAGAAGACGCGUUAUGGGUCUUCUCUAAGGCCAAAGUGGGUCUUUACAAGUACCCUGGGCCUUUUCUCCUUUCCCAAACAUCUCCUGUCUCCUGCUUUUUCUGCUAAGCUGCUCUGACCCAGAAUUCACUUCACAGAACGGGAAGGGUGGGGGGAAAAUGGCUCAAAUACUGAAAUUCCUUUAGGAGCGAUCAUGGAAAAAGUGAUCCAGAGCCCCGGCUCCUGCUACCGGGAUAAUGAGAGCAGUGAUGGCCACCGCCUUCCUUUAGCCUGGUUCGCCACCUAGUGGAGAACCUGAAACAGGCUGUCCAAUUGGCAAAUCAUCUGACCUUUCUGCUCGAUUACAAGAGGGUGAUGUAGUAGAUGAUCUUUAAGGCUCCUCCCAGCUCUGACACUCGCUGUUCUAAAUCCCCUCCCAGCCCUGACACUCCCUGUUCUAAGGUCCCUCUCAGCUCUGACAUCCCCUGUUCUAAGGUUCCUUUCAGCCCUGACAGUUCCUAUUCUAAGACCCCUCCGGUUCUGAUACUCUCUAUUCUAAGGUUUCUUCCAGCCCCGACAUCCCCUGUUGUAAGACCCUUCCCAGGUCUGAUACGCUCUCUUCCAAGGUUUCUUCCAGCCCCAACAUCCCCUGUUCUAAGACCCUUCCCAGGUCUGAUACUCUCUAUUCUAAAGUUUCUUCCAGCCCCGACAUCCCCUGUUCUAAGACCCUUCCCAGUUCUGAUACGCUCUCUUCCAAGGUUUCUUCCAGCCCCAACAUCCCCUGUUCUAAGACCCUUCUCAGGUCUGAUACUCUGUAUUCUAAGGUCUCUUCCAGUUUUGACAUUCCACAUUCUAAGGCCCCUCCCAGCCUUGACAUUCCACGUUCUAAGUGCUCUAUCAGCUCUGACAUUCCUUGUUCUAAGGCCCUUUCUAGUUCUGACACUCUGUUCUAAGAUCUCUUCAGUUCUAGCAUUCUUUGUGUUCUAAGCUUCCUCCCAGCUCUUGUAUUCUAAGGUCACUCCUUGGUCCAAUCUCUUUGGGUUUCAAUUUCUUCUUCCAUAGAUGAGGGGGAUAGCCUCCAGAGCAUGGAGAUAUAACAGGAAGAAUAAUCCAGACUGGGGUUUAAAUCCUGGUUCGAACAAUCAAUCCCCUGGCUUCUGGGUAAGUCUUCUUCCUCUUUUUUUUUUUUUUUUU
Antechinus flavipes (yellow-footed antechinus) is the source of this 2123-nucleotide long non-coding RNA. RefSeq lists it as uncharacterized. The transcript is spliced from 2 exons. The record is from RefSeq and is a predicted model, not a curated record. NCBI's taxonomy places the organism in Eukaryota, Metazoa, Chordata, Mammalia, Dasyuromorphia, Dasyuridae.